AUUCCCAUUGUCAAAGGUUAGUUAUUUCUAAUAUGAGAUUAAAUAUGUUUUUAGUUAUCAAAUAUAUAUUUUCUUUUAUAUAAUUAUGGUUGUUCCUUUGGUUGAUUGAAGCAACAAGAAAUUAUCUUAGAGAAUAAUCAUGCAAUUCAGAGUCCUAGUGAAUUGUACUCUUUCAGUCAGAUUCUCACUUCAUCAGAAAUAAGUACACUCGGUGGACUUUAUAUUCCAAAGGAACAUGCUGAGAGAUGUUUCCCCCCAUUGGAUAUGACCCUUGAACCACCAAUGCAUGAUCUAGUGGAGAAAGACUUGCAUGGAAAUGAGUGGAAUUUUUGACAUAUUUAUUGCAGUUAUGAGAAAGAACACAUGCUUACUAAUGGUUGGAGCACAUUUGUAAACUCAAAAAAUCUUGCUCCCGGAGAUUCAUGCAUUUUUGUUAGUGGUGAGAAUGGUGAAUUUGGUAUUGGGAUUCGUCGAGAUAUGAAACAACAUAUCAAUGUAUGCUGCACAUCAUCGUCUCAACAGUCUAGUCAAAAUAUGCAACUUCCAUCAUUGGUUGCUGCUCUUCAUGCUGUUUGUAUUGGAACUUUGUUCCAUGUUCAGUACUACCCUUGGUCAGUAAUUAUAGAUGAUUUUUUUAUUCAAAAUAAAAAUAAUUCCUCUUUUGUAGGAUUACUCCUUUUGAAUUUAUAAUUCCUCUGAAAACUUAUGUUGAGUCAAUUGAAAAAGAUUACUCAAUUGGAACAAGGGUGCACAUGUUGUCUCAAGUUGAAGGAUGUAUAAAAAGGUAUGGUACAAUAGUUGGUAAUGAAGAUAUUGAUCCUAUUAACUGGCCUGCUUCUGAUUGGAGAUCUCUUAGGGUUCAAUGGGAUUCUAUUCCAAAUAUUUUUACACAUCUGGAAAGAGUUUGUCCUUGGUGGAUUGAGCCCUUGAAAGAUUCCAAGAUUAAGGGAAUCCAUGUUCUUCCUUUACCUAAAAAAAUAGAUGAAUAUGACUCAUUAUUGCAUGGAUUAAGUGACUUUGGACUCAAGGAUACAUUUGGAAGUUCAUCCAAAGUUGAAUAUCACAAAGUGGACAUGGACUUGCAAGGUCAAGAUUACAAUAUCAGAAAGCAAAAAAAAUCAAAAUUUCUCAAUUUUUCUUUAUUUAUAUUUCUUUGCUUCU
Lathyrus oleraceus (garden pea) is the source of this 1161-nucleotide long non-coding RNA. RefSeq lists it as uncharacterized. The transcript has 7 exons. NCBI's taxonomy places the organism in Eukaryota, Viridiplantae, Streptophyta, Magnoliopsida, Fabales, Fabaceae. The record is from RefSeq and is a predicted model, not a curated record.